UCUCCUUCAAGCUUCUCUGGACCAUCACCUGUGGGUCAGUCAGCAGAGGUGACUGGACUAUAGGAUCCCCAACCUGGUCUAGGUGUGGAGGGAGGGAGGGCAAGAGGAGAAGUAAGAGGACAAGUAUCAGGAAAGCCAAUAUUAGAGUAGAUGGAACAUGCUAAAGGGAGAGGCUUUCAGAUUAUUUGGCUCAAUGUUCUUGUUUUCUCUGGGGAAUGUGGGGAAGGUUCUAAGUCCACCCUCCACUGCUGGUUUGGAAUAGAGAGAAGGGUUAUCACAGCUGUUAUGGGGAAAGGAUUCUGGAACCUAAUAGUUAACUCUGGGCUUUGCCAUUUGACACCUCCCACCCCCUGCAAACCUCAUUAACUUGCUUUGCCAGAGGGAGGGGAACUGCCUGGUGCCUGGGGGUCUCAGCUCUCUCUCUCUCACUUCCAGAACAACAGGCCCACAGGGGAGAAAUUUCUAUCACACUUAUCCUCCUUGGACUUCGGGAAGUAAAAACCCAGCCCCCCUCCCGCUGGUGUGUGGACACACUUGAGCCCGGAGGAGUGUUAAAAUUCAGCCGGAGAGGCACCCAGCACUACAGAAGCCUAGAUAAAGGGAAAGGAUUUCAGGCAAGAGGAAAAAAUAAAAUAAAGAGGCAAGACUUAAAAUGUCCUGUGAAAUGGAGAGCAUUUGGCCCUCGGCACACAUGUCUGCGGGAGAUGACUCAACUCCUUUAUAAAGUGAGGAACCAAAUUGUGAAGACAUCUGUUCUGUUAUUAAUUUCACAUAAAUCUUAAGCUCCUCAAGGCCAGAAAUGAGGCUUCAUUCACGUCGAAUUAAUGAAACAUGAUUGUAAGUCCCUUGCAUGGAAAUGCUGUCACACAAUUCUGAGCCGCUUAUAAGCACCCAGUAAGCUCAGAAACUGCCAGGGGACAGCCAUGUGAAAUCCGCCCUCCCCUCCCCCUGCCACCCGAAAACAAUAUCUGAAAAUAUCACAACACUAACUAUAUCCUGAAAGAUUAAUAGCAGAUGAGCAUUUCUGGGAAAUGAAUCAGACUUUCUCCGUAAAGGAUACCGGGUAAAAGCAGAUUGCACAAUAUAAGAGCUCUUUGGAUACAGUUUAAUAACUCUGCAGCCCUACGUGCACCUGACAGGAGUGGGGGGGUCCUGGGGUGUCUGGCAGAGAUGUCUUUUGGGAGGAUGUUGAAGGCAUAGGAUUGAAACAGGAAACCUGGACUGGCCAAAGCAUGAUACACAUGUGUCACGCGUGUGAGAGAAUGUGU
Molecule: long non-coding RNA, 1268 nt
Filed under: Canis lupus familiaris (dog)
Lineage: Eukaryota; Metazoa; Chordata; Mammalia; Carnivora; Canidae
Description: lncRNA (ENSCAFG00040009712.1)
Source: RNAcentral